This is a non-coding RNA of Bubalus bubalis (water buffalo), 930 nucleotides long. NCBI's taxonomy places the organism in Eukaryota, Metazoa, Chordata, Mammalia, Artiodactyla, Bovidae. The record is from the annotation of a RefSeq genome assembly.
GGACCCACCCUCCUCUGGGGGAGGGGAUAAGAGGGAUCUGAGGACCAGGCCCAGGGCUGCGGGCUCAGAAGGCAGCGUCUGGAGCGUCUCCACCAUGGCCUGGGCUCUGCUGCUCAUCACAGUCCUCACUCAGGGCUCAGGGUCCUGGGGCCAGUCUGGCCUGACUCAGCCUUCCUCAGUGUCUGGGAAUCUGGGACAGACGGUCACCAUCUCCUGUGCUGGGACCAGCAGUGACAUAGGGGGUUAUAAUGGUGUGGGCUGGUACCAACAGCUCCCGGGCUCAGCCCCCAAAACUCUGAUAUAUAAUGUCAACAAACGGCCCUCAGGGAUCCCUGCUCGGUUCUCUGGCUCCAAGUCUGGGAACACAGCCACCCUGACCAUCUCUGGGCUCCAGGCUGAGGACGAGGCCGACUAUUACUGUAGCUCAUAUAAAAGUGGUGGUACUGUUGUUUUCGGCAGCGGGACCCGGCUGACCGUCCUGGGUCAGCCCAAGUCCGCACCCUCGGUCACCCUGUUCCCGCCCUCCACGGAGGAGCUCAACGCCAACAAGGCCACCCUGGUGUGUCUCAUCAGCGACUUCUACCCGGGUAGUGUGACCGUGACCUGGAAGGCAGAUGGCAGCACCAUCACCCGGAACGUGGAGACCACCCGGGCCUCCAAACAGAGCAACAGCAAGUACGCGGCCAGCAGCUACCUGAGCCUGACGAGCACCGACUGGAAAUCGAAAGGCAGUUACAGCUGCGAGGUCACGCACGAGGGGAGCACCGUGACGAAGACAGUGAAGCCCUCAGAGUGUUCUUAGGGCCCUGGACCCCACCCCGGAAAGUUCUACCCUCCCACCCUGGUUCCCCCACCCUGGUUCCCCCUAGCCCUUCCUCCUGCAUGCAAUCAGCUCUUAAUAAAAUGUCCUCAUUGUCAUUCAGAAAUGAA